RNAcentral lists this long non-coding RNA (287 nucleotides) under Nicotiana benthamiana. RNAcentral describes it as "long non-coding RNA (NBEN_LNC028674)". The record is from RNAcentral. Lineage: Eukaryota; Viridiplantae; Streptophyta; Magnoliopsida; Solanales; Solanaceae.
CUCAUUCUCUAGUCCCUGCGACAAAUAAACUUGAAGCUCAUUUAGAUGGGAAAUUUCAUCUAAAUUUUCCCUUGAGUACCCCUGAAAUCCGUCCACGAUUUAAGAGCUGUUAAGCCAGCAACUCUUUUAGACGCCUGUGACGUAGACGAAGUAGGGGUUGGAAUAUUAGGCCUAGCAUGCUUUAACGCAUGUUUAUAAGCAUUAUAAACAGUUUGAGCAUUCAGAUAAUGCGUUUUUGCAUAGUCCAGUCUUCGUCUAUCCAAUGACUGGUUACGGUUAGAUAAUCA